UACGGAGGGGGCAAGCGUUAUUCGGAAUUAUUGGGCGUAAAGAGCUCGUAGGCGGUUCGUCGCGUCGAAUGUGAAAACCCGGGGCUCAACUCCGGGCCUGCAUUCGAUACGGGCGGACUAGAGUUCGGUAGGGGAGACUGGAAUUCCUGGUGUAGCGGUGAAAUGCGCAGAUAUCAGGAGGAACACCGGUGGCGAAGGCGGGUCUCUGGGCCGAUACUGACGCUGAGGAGCGAAAGCGUGGGGAGCGAACAGG
RNAcentral lists this ribosomal RNA (253 nucleotides) under uncultured bacterium. RNAcentral describes it as "partial 16S ribosomal RNA". It matches the Rfam family "Bacterial small subunit ribosomal RNA", at positions 524 to 776 of the family's 1533-position model. The record is from RNAcentral.